UCCCUGCAGGCAUGCCCUCAGAACUUUUAAUCUUUAUGAAACAUUUGAAGACCUCGAGAAAGGACAAUACCCUUGGUUCUAUACAGAUGCUGUCAUGAAUUCAUCUUAUAUCAGUUUCAUAAAUCUGAGAAAACAAACUAGAGAGAAGGCAACACAUAUUUCAUUUUAGCUGUGAGCAACUUCCAUUGUGAAUCAAGGAUUCAUUCAAAAUACAUCUGGUAUGAGGUUUUGCUUUUCACAGAAUGGCAACAUCUAACCUCAUCACACAGAAUCCAUGUAGUCAAAUACCAUUGAGGAUAGUUGUGUGGUCACUAUGUUGUAAUAUCAGACAAAGAUGACAGUGAAUCUGCA
Molecule: long non-coding RNA, 351 nt
Filed under: Homo sapiens (human)
Lineage: Eukaryota; Metazoa; Chordata; Mammalia; Primates; Hominidae
Description: HSALNT0294433
Source: RNAcentral